GUAGGGAAUAUUGGGCAAUGGAUGCAAGUCUGACCCAGCCAUCCCGCGUGCCGGAAGAAGGCCCUCAGGGUUGUAAACGGCUUUUGACGGUGAAGAAUCGACAGGAUGCGUCCUGUUUUGACGGUAGCCGUUGAAUAAGCACCGGCUAACUCCGUGCCAGCAGCCGCGGUAAUACGGAGGGUGCGAGCGUUGUCCGGGUUUAUUGGGUUUAAAGGGUGCGUAGGCUGGAAGGUCAGUCAGCGGUGAAAAGCUGUCGCUUAACGAUAGUCUUGCCGCAGAUACUUCCUUUCUUGGAUGAGGAGGAGGCCACUGGAACGGAUGGUGUAGCGGUGAAAUGCAUAGAUAUCAUCCAGAACACCGAUUGCGAAGGCAGGUGGCUGUACCUUAAUCGACGCUGAUGCACGAAAGCAUGGGGAGCAAACAGGAUUAGAAACCCGUGUAGUCC
Molecule: ribosomal RNA, 445 nt
Filed under: uncultured bacterium
Lineage: Bacteria
Description: partial 16S ribosomal RNA
Rfam family: Bacterial small subunit ribosomal RNA
Source: RNAcentral